Molecule: ribosomal RNA, 253 nt
Filed under: uncultured bacterium
Lineage: Bacteria
Description: partial 16S ribosomal RNA
Rfam family: Bacterial small subunit ribosomal RNA
Source: RNAcentral
UACGGAGGAGGCAAGCGUUAUCCGGAAUUAUUGGGCGUAAAGAGCUCGUAGGCGGUCUGUCGCGUCGGCUGUGAAAUCCCGAGGCUCAACCUCGGGUCUGCAGUCGAUACGGGCAAACUUGAGUACUGCAGGGGAGACUGGAAUUCCUGGUGUAGCGGUGGAAUGCGCAGAUAUCAGGAGGAACACCGGUGGCGAAGGCGGGUCUCUGGGCAGUAACUGACGCUGAGGAGCGAAAGCGUGGGGAGCGAACAGG